UUUCAUUUACUGUUAUAAUGACUGAUACGUAUAAAGGGAUUUAUAAGGGCUUUUCAUUUCAAAUUACAUUUUUCUUUAAAUGUCCAAAGUUCCUGUGUGGAAACAACUGCAACUUUUAUGAAUAGACGGGUCUUGCCUUUAAAAAUAUGUUUUUAAAGAGCAAAUUCUGCAGAAUUAAUUAUUAAAAAGACUAUGGGACUUUGGAGAGGCUUUCAUCAACAUUGUCCCUAAACUACCCUUAGUUCUACCCAGUGGCUCAGAAUUUGGGGCAAUUUUUUCCCCCAGGUUAUAUGUGACAAUGUCUGGAGACAUUGGUUGUCACAACUUGGGGGGACAGUACUGGCAUUUAUGAAUAGAGGUCAGGCGUGCUGCUAAACAUCCUACAAUACACAUCCACACAUCAGGAGCAAGAACACAUCCAAUUCAAAAUGUCAAUAAUGCCAAGACUGAGAACCCCCGGAGUAAGCCUCACAAAAGCUCUUAUGACCUCACAGGGCAGCUGUCUUAUUGUCAUCUCAAAUCUACCUCAGUGAUUUCCUUGACAUUCAAAACACCUAUUCCUACUGAACUUUAGAGUUCUUGAUUUACCACCACUGGAAUUUGCUCUAUCAAUGGCAAAAAAAAAAAAAAAAAGGAACUAAAUAUGGAGAAUAUUCUUAAUUCUUCCUCAAAUAAUGUCUCUGUAUUUUAUUGAUAUCUUAUCAAGAAGUUAGAGAGUAAUUUUAUUUUCUGUCAACAAUGGAUCCUGUCUGUGGAUAUUCAUAAUGGCCCAAUAUCAUGUUAAAAAAAAUUAUAUUUUCAAAAACAAUGUUGAGAGUCAGAAAAUGAAGCAGAUAUAGUAUUUCCUAUGGCCAAUGCUACAAUAAUGUGGAAAGGACUGUUUCUAUAGAAACAGAAGUGCAGUAGGGCCACAUAGAAGGCCAGGUUAGCACACAGGACAACUGGUCCCUGACCUGACACACAAAAUAUGCCAUAGACUUUGAAAAUUACGUCAGUUCUUUAAAAAAUAAAAAGGUGGGGUGGGGUGGGGGGAUUUCUGUAAAUAAGUAUACAGGAGCACCAAACUGAGUGCCAGUGUUUUUCUAAUCUUAAAGGAAAACAGUGCUGUUUUGAAUCUAUUUAUCAGCUGCUAUUGCCACCAAGCAGGGUUGAUUUAAAGGGAAAAAGAAAACUCUUGUAUUUCCUUGGGAGAAUUAAAAAGCAGGACAAUUAAAGAGAGAGUUAAACUCAAGUGAAAAUAGCAUACAGCAGGCAUCACAGUGCCACAGGUGGCAAAUGCAAGCCACCCAACCCAAUACAAAAUUAUUGCACUUAGCAUGAUUGGACAUUCUUAAAUGCACUCAGCCAAACUGUCCUUAAAAAGGUAUUAUUUCACAUUGACUCCAGACCAUAAUCUGGCAUAACUGUCUAUCAAGAUACUUUUCUGAAGUUAGGUUUAAUUAUAGUGGAAUUAAGUGCCUUUUCAUACCCAGAAAAAUAUUUUAGAGAUUAAAGAACAGUGUUUAAAUGCAAACUAAUAUGCAUUCCUUCAGCCAGUUGCACAAAAACUGUGAAAUUAUAAUUUUACCUUUUAAUAAAGGCAGAAUGAUGUGAAAUCAAAUUAGACCUUCAGA
Macaca fascicularis (crab-eating macaque) is the source of this 1613-nucleotide long non-coding RNA. The record is from Ensembl. NCBI's taxonomy places the organism in Eukaryota, Metazoa, Chordata, Mammalia, Primates, Cercopithecidae.